AAUUCACUUGUUGUACAAUAAAAGUUGUUUUUUGUUAUUUUUGUCAGAUUGUUGUACAACAAUAGCAAAAACAACUUUUGUUGCACAACAAAUGAAUU
RNAcentral lists this microRNA precursor (98 nucleotides) under Drosophila guanche. The record is from RNAcentral. Lineage: Eukaryota; Metazoa; Arthropoda; Insecta; Diptera; Drosophilidae.